This 68-nucleotide transfer RNA is filed under the name Leptomyrmex pallens. RNAcentral describes it as "tRNA-Ser". Lineage: Eukaryota; Metazoa; Arthropoda; Insecta; Hymenoptera; Formicidae. The record is from RNAcentral.
GUUAAUGAUCUUGAACAAGAAUAUGUCUUGAAAACAUAAUAAAGAAGCCCAUACUUUCUAUUAACUUU